Molecule: ribosomal RNA, 385 nt
Filed under: Escherichia coli
Lineage: Bacteria; Pseudomonadati; Pseudomonadota; Gammaproteobacteria; Enterobacterales; Enterobacteriaceae
Description: partial 23S ribosomal RNA
Rfam family: Bacterial large subunit ribosomal RNA
Source: RNAcentral
GUAGGUCCCAAGGGUAUGGCUGUUCGCCAUUUAAAGUGGUACGCGAGCUGGGUUUAGAACGUCGUGAGACAGUUCGGUCCCUAUCUGCCGUGGGCGCUGGAGAAUUGAGGGGGGCUGCUCCUAGUACGAGAGGACCGGAGUGGACGCAUCACUGGUGUUCGGGUUGUCAUGCCAAUGGCACUGCCCGGUAGCUAAAUGCGGAAGAGAUAAGUGCUGAAAGCAUCUAAGCACGAAACUUGCCCCGAGAUGAGUUCUCCCUGACUCCUUGAGAGUCCUGAAGGAACGUUGAAGACGACGACGUUGAUAGGCCGGGUGUGUAAGCGCAGCGAUGCGUUGAGCUAACCGGUACUAAUGAACCGUGAGGCUUAACCUUACAACGCCGAAG